CUUUGUGGAACUCUUUUCAGAAGAAAAAAAGAGAGAAAGUGGGGGCCAUACUUGGCACUAGUAACGAUGCAUAUGCACUUCUGAAAAGAGGUGUCAAUGGAAUUUGGCUCAGCUGAUGUUUACUGGAUGGGCUCUCUCCUCCUUCCUUCCUUAGCCCUUCUGGUGGGAUCUUGACAUGUUACAGAGGAAAUGCUAAUUGAAGCCCCAGCCACAACCACUUCUGUGCUCUGCUUCUGCCUGAAGGAAUGAAUAAAUAGAAAAACGGGAAUGUUAUUUUCCAGUAAUUUUUUAAAUGGAUCUCAGUGGCGAAAAGUACGUUAAGUUAGCAAACGUGCCUCACAUACUGUGGAUGCCUGUAAGACUCUUACAUUCGUCUGCCUAGAUGUAUUUCAGAAGCCAAUAAAAGAUAAUCUGUGUUUGUUGAAUGAAUGAAGAAACCCAGUCUACCGUGGGUUUACCAUGUGCCAAAUGCAGAGCUACAAAAGGAAAAAUGAAAAAGAAAAGACCUAGAGAAUCUCAAGUCCAGUGGC
Molecule: long non-coding RNA, 530 nt
Organism: Homo sapiens (human)
Lineage: Eukaryota; Metazoa; Chordata; Mammalia; Primates; Hominidae
Source: Ensembl